UCGCUCAGCCCGGGGAUGAACUCUCCCUCACCCCCUGACCCCCUCUUCAACUCCCACACAUGCACCAAGGCGUGAACCGGGGCUCCGCGGGGCCCAGGGGCCUCCUGAGCCACCUCUGCCGCAUUCCCCGGACACGGGGCUGGGGCAUGGCUGAGCUCAGCCCCGCUGGCUUCUCUCAGAUUCUGCACCAAGCCCAAGAACCUUGGCAGCAGUUUUGUCCCAAGCAGGAGGGUGCAGCCACCUCUUAACAAUUUAGUCUUAAUCUCCUCCUGGCCUGGACCCUCCAGACCCCACUGCCGCUCUCUGCUUGUCCCUGGACGCACAAACCAAAGGAAGACUGUGAGUCACUCUGGGACUUUGACUGCUGUCAGAUGGGGAUGUCCCCUCUGUUUUGGAGAAGUGAGCAGUAGCUUUUGCUUGAUGGCUCUGGAGGCCCUUGCCAGGCUGGGGGCUUGUGCUGACAUCUGGGAGUCGUGUGACAGAGGGUGCAGAAGGUGUCAGCUCUUGUUUCUGAAUCAUCUGGUCUGACUGUGUUGUGCUGGAGGAAACAGAAGCUUUCAGUAUGCUCGCCUGCUGGGUCCUCCGGGAAUAACGUGCUCCGGAAAUUUAUUACACUGUCUCUAGGCAGAGCCUACCACUGCUAUAUCAGGGAAUUACUUAAGGAGUUACUCAGGUCCAGGUGGCUGUUUGAGAACUUAUAUCAAGAACUUACAUCACCUGCCUUCCCUUGUAGUUAAAUUUAGGUCCCUUCUUUUGGCUCAUUUCUCCUUUUAUCAGAGCAUAAUUUAACCACUGGUCACUGGAGACAAAAGAAGCCUAAAUAAGCUUCAGCAUACACCUGAGAAACUCUGAUCAGAAGAGCUAAGAAGCAAUAUUUCUUCUGAAAAUCAGUAUCCUUUCACAGUGACUCUAGUAGCUUCUGCUCUCCAUGUUAGAUGAAGGAAGUAGCAGACAGAAGGAAAACAUAGUAUGACAAGAGAUAUCAGGAAGGCCAAGGAAAAGGUGAAGCAAAGGUAUUUGCUCACAUCAGAGAAGAAGAGACAAAACUUAUAUUGCUUUACACUUAAACUCCUUGGCUGAGUUCACUGCUGCAUUCACAAACAGGGACAGGAGGUACAGAGAGAGUGGUAUGAGUGACAGCAUCCUGUGUCCCAGACUAGAAAGAUAGUCAGGUGCUCCAACACUGUCACUGCAGGCUGGCAAAGGUGGUUAGGGUCAGGAAAGGAGGAUUUGAGAGACACAAUUCUUAAUACCAGAAUUUCCAAUUCCAGCUGCUGAUAGCAGAAAGUCUACGGAAAAGCAGCUUGUGAAUAUUUUAAGUUUGUAUUGCAAUUAAAUGCAUGUUUUAGUGCUUUGGAUAUUUUUGUAAAAGUACAAUGGCAGAUAUAGAGUACAUUUAAGUACAUUUGUACUCUGACUACUCGGGACUGCCUUUAUGGGGACUGGUGGUAGAGGUAUCUCUUUCUGUCCUGUGUCAUUAUCCAUAGAAUUCAGCUAGCCAUUACAAUGAAGCAUUUUAAGGCAAACCAACGCCAGUGACGGCUGCAGUGCGAAGUCUGCCCUGUAAACUGCAGUGGUUUGGGAGCUGAUUGACAAGCAGCUUAGACAUCUGGACACCAGGAGCAGAGAAGACAGCUGGAGCUGCCAACCUUUUCAGCUUAUCCUGAGCUUCGUUAUGAUCUACUACAACCAGUGCCUCCUUAUUAUCAAGUAAAGAACAAGCCGAGUGAUACUGCCUUUUUCCUUCCUCAGCUACUAUCAAAACAGUGCAACAACCCCAGUCACAAACUCAAGAGUCUUUUGACAGCAGCAAUUAAGCAACUUAAUUAAUGAGUGAAUAAAAAUGAUAAUAUUUACUGAAUGGGAGCAUCCUGUUUUGCAUUUUUAUUCAAACUGUGCACCUGAAGAAUACCACUGAGUAUACUACCUCCUCCCCUUCUGCUUGAAAGCUCUCUUCAUUUUUUUUCCCCACGCUAUUUUGACUUUGAAAGCACCCAAAAACUAUUGUAUGCCUAGACACAGGCAUGAUGCUGAGGCACUAAAUAACUCUUCCAGGCAGCUGAAAGGAAUAUGCUGCUGUCUUUGCUAUGGUUUUGCUGACCCUUAGAAACUUGGCUUAUAUUUAAGGGGCAAUUUUCAUGGUGCAUUUGUAAGCUUGAAAUUUACAUCAGAAUAGGUUAUUAAUUACUGAUAAAUGGCUAAUAAAGCAUUAAUGCAUUUGGUAAUUAACAAAUUUUGGACUUGCAGUGCUUUCCACCCUCUUUCUCAACGUGUUUCACAUGUAUGCAUACAGACACUGUUCCCCUAUAUUCUUUAUUUGACUGUUAAUCUCUUCAACCAUCAUAUAUUACAUACAUACACAUAAAUAUAUGUUUUAGUCUACAUGGGUUUUCUCAAUGAAAUAUAUAACCCAUCUCUACUGCAAGUAAAGCCCCAUACAUAAUUAUUUUGGAAUGACAGACAGUGAAUUCCUUAGCUAUUAUUUUUGACGACCCUGUCAUGGAUGCCAGGCAUAUAUUGUGGUGAGAGCCUGAGAAACUUGGGAAAACCCACCUGGGGAGCAAACUCCUUUUUUCUUUAUGGAAAGGUUCCCCAAGUGACAGGCCUGCAAUCCUGGGUGAGCUUAAUUAAAGUCAAUAGAGAAAACUAAAGCAUUCAAAAUUGCUGCCUUUGGGGCUUCCCCACUCUUCUUUUUCUUCAUUUGCUGACACUUUUAAGGGUAAGGUGCAUUUUAAAUUCCUUAUUUGGGGCUUGGGGCUCAGUUCAUCACAUUCCCCUUCUGUUCUGUAUCCCACAUUAAAUCUCCCUGACACUUCAAAGUGUUGUUUCCCAUGAUUUAUGGCUAACUAAUGCAGGUGCACUGGGCCUCCUGUGAGGUGCUGAAUGUCCUCUUUGACAUCAGUAUUAAUGAAUGAAAUUUUGGCAUACAAAGCCAGGUAAGGCACGUUGCCUAAAAGUGCAUGUAGGUAAACUGAGGCACCCAACAAGAUAUCAGUGAAACCAAAAGAAGCAUUUAACCUUGUUGGCACCCAGAGUUCUGCAGUAUUUCCUAUGCAUUUUGUAGUGUGAGUUCUGCUGAAAGUAUCCCCUUGGGAUUUUCUAAAAUGCACCUAACCAGACUUUGUGACCCUAGUCCUACCUCAUUUCUUCUUCUCUCCUGCCACAGUUGCACGUCACAGGCCAGAGACACACUGAAGCAGCAGAGCUAGGAGCACACAUGGAAAAAAAAAAGGCCUCUGUGUAAUAGGAUCUUGACCAUCUGCUGCACCUGCCGUUUCAAUCCCUUGUCUGUUUUGAAUCAUACAUUGUCAAAUGUCACAAUUGCUACCAGGCCUGAAGCUUGGAUUAGUUUUUGAGCUUGUAAUGCUUACUUUUGAAAUGAAUGGCAAAAUGCCUACUGACUUCAGCAGAAGCAGAGCUCAAGAACUGACAGCUACAAUCACCUUCAUUUGCACCCCACCCACAGUGGCAGAAUAUAUUGGAAGUGGUGUCAGCAACAGCAGUGGGACUGGGGCAUUUGUGACAAACUACCUUUGGGGUUUGCUUUUGGAAUAAAAUCCUCAUUUACCAGCCUCUGGUAAUGAGGUGGCCACAUGACUUUAGAGUGAAGGCAUUUUUAUUAGUGCCUAAUGGUAGAUAUCGUAAAUGAGGUUUGUGAAUUAAGAAAACACUUUGAACAUUCAAGUGAUCAAAAUCCCUGAUGAUAAAGAUGGGUGUCAGAAAUUCCCCAGUUCCAAUUGUUGGUCCCAUAGCACUUACAUGAUUCACUACAUGUUAAUCUAGGCUGUCUGUACAUCUAUUGUAGUGGGUGGGAUGUAUGUAUGGUGGGAUGAUAGUAAUUACAUAUUCUGUCCUCCACAGCACUCAGAAACGUAAGAGGUGUGCUAUGCAAAGAGCAGGGGAAAUUCGAAGUCCAGGUGCCAGCUCUGAUGGUGGUAGUGCAGUGAUGCUCAGUGAGCCCUGCCCCAGGAGGUAAGAAACCUGCGCUCAGCUCCUGUUCUUCAAACUGCUGGAGAGACCAGCCAGGGCACCAAGGUCGUAUUUCCCUCCACAGAGGGUCAAAGGCAAUGCUGCCAGAGCCACAAAUGCAAAAAAUUACUUUCUGUUCUAGGUACCACAGAUUUCAUCAGAUUUAGUGAGAUUUGGGUGCCUCAGACUCUUGGAAGUUUUUACUCUGAAUUUACCAAUCCAGAGGCAUGGACAUUCAUGGGAGCAGCAAACUGCAAACGCACUCAAUCACAAGUUGUUGGAUACAGCACAUCCUCAUCCCUAGAGCAGAUGAGAGAUUAGUGUGUUUGUUAACCUCAGUAUCUUUCCUGUUGAAUGAAAUGGGUGGAAAUCAGGUAUACACUGAGCAAAUGUUUAUUUUGACUGGAAGCCCUGUCACUUUGUGUAUUUAUGUGAAAUAGAGAGAUGUAUGCUUAGCCUGAGGAGGUAUCUGCACUCUUCAAAAAAAGGCCAUUGAUGAAUGGCUGUAAAAGCUAUAGUUUUAUCUGUUUUAUGUUCUUCUAAUGCUGCUAAAUUGUUGUAUAUUAGGUUAAAAAAUAGUUCAUUCUGACGUUACAUGAUGAGCACGUCUCGCAAUGGUAUGUGCAAUAUAAGCCUCUUUCAUUUGACGAUUUACUGCUGUUAAAAGGAAAUAAAAAUCCUCAUAACAUAUGAGAGAACAAUGUAGCUGAGAGAUUUUUCAAGGUGUUCAGCUUGAGUUCCUUGAACUAGGAAUAAUGUUUUUUUGACUCGAUGUAUCUGUGUAUUUUUAAUUCAGUUACACAAAUAUCAGGGGGGAAGAGGCAGCAAUUUUUUCCCUCAUAGAGAUGUUUUACUUCAUACUAAACUCCUUUACAACAACAGUAAUUAUUAAAAAAUACCACAGAAGUGCUGCAGUACAUGUUAUUAGUUACUAUUUAUACAGUGACACAUAUUGCUCUACAGACAAAUAAAAACAAUGUGGCUUUUCCUCUCUCACAGUGAUGGUUUACGUGCUUUUCAUUACAAGUUUAGCCAGCUGGUUUAGGUAUGACAAGUACUUCUCCCCAAAUCUAUUCUUUUUGCCCUAAGCCCCACCCUGAAAGGAUAAGUUUUUUUAAAAUCACAAAGCGUUUGUGCCAUUUUUGUCUUCUCUUCCCAUCUUGUGCCCCAUCCCCCAACUCACAUCCAUCCCCAAAAUUCUCUCGUUUUCUAAACUUUUUUUUUCAUGUUUUUUUCAGUCCCAUUGUUGCCAUCUUCAUAUCUGCUCAGUCCAGGUCUGGAAGCAAAACCAGCAGGUUGUAGUGCAAUAUUCCCAGUACUUCUGCCCAUCCUGGAAAUAAAAGUGUACCUCCAUUGUGAAACGUUUCCUGCAAAACUUACACAGAUUGAGGAGAAAAUUCAAAAAGGCAUUCCAGCAGAAUGCAAUUGCCUAAAUUGAUGUCAUCCAUCUGAUUCCUUACACACCUGAAGAUCAGCUCAGGGCUGUUUGAUCUCAAGUGACAAUGAGAGACGUUGAGAACCAAAUAGAAGAAAUCUGUUGCUGGAAUUGCACCAACCACGUAGGCUGAGCCAAACACAGUGGAGCUUCCUGAAUAUUACAGAAUCACAGAAUCAUUAAGGUUGGAAAAGACCUCCAAGAUCAUCAAGUCCAACCUUUGAUUGAUCACCACAUUUCCUGAACACUUCCGGGGUAGUGACUCCACCAACUCCCUCAGCAGUCUGUUCCAAUGCUUAACAAGCAUUUUCAUUAAGAACUUUUUGAUGUCCAGCCCGAAUUUCUGGCGCAGAGCCUAUCUCUCAUCCUGUCACUGGCUGCCUGGGAGAACAGACUGACCCCCAUCAUGCUACAACCUCCAAGUGGUCACAGAGAGUGAUAAGGUCCCCCUGAGCCUCCUUUUCUGCAAGUUAAACAACUCCAGCUCCCUCAGCUGCGCCUUAUAGGACUUACUCUCUACUUUCUACUUACUGUCUACUUACAGGACUUACUCUCUCUGCCUUCUCCAGAAAGGUAAUGAAGCUAGUGAAGGGUACAGAGUAAGUCUUUUAAGGAGCAGUGGAAGGAGCAUGAAUCUGCAAGAACUGUAAAUGAUAAUAAACUUCAGUAGUUUCAAGUUUUCGGAAGCUUUUCAUUGCUUUGACUACUUCAGCCUUUUGACUUACAGGACUGAUCAUUUCCUUGGCUUUUGAAUACUUGCCUGUCUAGGAUUCUCACAACACCUUUGUUUAACAAUUAUUUGCUGCAUGCUGCCUGUAUCAGUUGAGUGGGACUAUCAGCCUUUCCUUAACUUUCACUCCAUAUAUGUCAACUGUGACCACCACAGACCUGUAACUGAAAGGCAAUUUAUUGCAGCCGCUUUUAGUGUACAACUGUUUUCUCAUUUGUCAUAACUUUUUAAACAUCUGUAACUUGUUUCUCUAUGUGUAUACAAAUUGAUACCAAAUUAGACUAAGCAUGUAGCUAUCUGUGUUUUUUCCACCAUUAACAACUUAGCAAGGCAUUUGAUAUUCUCCUUUUUUGUAAAGGCUUGCUUUUGUGAUACUAUAAGAAAACAAUAUUUCUAUCUGAUUGAGUGCUGGGCUGUGAUUUUGAGCUUUACUAAAUAACAGGUAUGAUAGAGUCCUCCUUAAUUGCUGUGUAUGCUACUGGACCAUGUUGCUCAGGACUGUAACUAUUGGGUAGCUGCAUUGAAAAUGAGUGCACCUCUCACAAAAACUGAGCUUUAAUAAGCCAUCCUUAUUUGUCCACAUUUGCCAGCCCUUUCUACCACAGCAAUCUCUCUGUAAACACUUCUGAUAACCAAACUUGGGUCUAAUAAAUACACUACUCACUGAUGGAACUAUAAUUAUCCAAUCUGCAGGCUUUGCACAUAUAGGUAUUGUUGAAUCAGAUAUUCUAACACAGGCCCUGAUGUCUCUUCUGGCAACUUCACCACCUCAGUAGUUUGUGUUUUUCAGUUUUAAAUUGGUAACAUUAAAUGUCUUUAAUAGGUUAUUACUGGAAUCCUGUAGACAACAGAGAUGUAGUGAAUACAAAUAGAGUACUUGACAAAUCACAGACUGUAAUGGUUGGCAGAUCCCAUUGGCAAUUUGGUAAUGUGCUCAGGAUCACAGAUAUUAGAGCUGGAAAAGACACAUUAGGUAAAAUCCUAGGUUGAAUGAAGAAAAUGGCAGAAUUUCUGUUGAGUUCAAUGGGACCAGUUGCAUUAUAUCCUUUCCAGUAUCGAUCAUAGCAAUCCAGUCUGUGUGCAGCUUUUCAGGAGCUCCUUGAGUCCAAACACUGAGGCUUGGUAGGAAAGUAUGUAGCUAUAAGCUUUAUUGAUAUCUGUACUCAUUUAGCACUGGCCAAACUCCCAAGGCUCUAGCUCUGGGCUCAUUCAAAAUUUACUACAUUUCUUCUUGUUGUAUAAUCCUGGUCAGGAAUCUAAGGGACAUUACCUGGGACCAAUGCACCUGGGACAUUACAGAGAACAGGUUAAAGUGACUGAAAACUGUCACAAGACCCAAAAUGACUUCUGCUGAGCUUCACAGAGGUUUCUAGCAGGCUUAUUUAAUGUUGUGUGUUGGAGCCAUGGGCUCCUUCUUAAACCUUGACUCUUAUUAUUUUCUACUGUCAUCAGAAAUAUAAAUGACCCAUUAAAGAAGCAACAGAGUAUGCUUUUGAUAACAAGAUGCUCUCAGGUGGCAAACAGGCAGGAGGCUCCCAAGGAAAGGAGGCAGUUUGUGCUGAGGCUCAGGGUUACAAGAGCAGUGCAGGGCACUCCAGUAUUCUAUACCCAAUGCAUAACUUAGAACACCCUAAACCUCAUUUGUGCUCAGCUUGUCCUAAAUAUUCCUCAAGUCCAUUCUAAAAGUUGAGGUUUAAGAUCAGUAAAGUGGAAAUGUGACUUCAAUGCACUUUUCUACUUGUGGUCGUAAAGAACAUAAACUAAGAAUUGAGUCCCUGGGCUGGUUGCACAGUUUCAUUGUAAUUUCUCAAGGCUUCAAGCUUCUCUUCUGCUAAAUGGAAAUUAGGGGCCAGUCUCCAGAUAUGAGCCCUUGCGAAGAAAAGCUAACAGCUGCAAAACUUUACCUGGGAUGUAACUAGUGCACUAAUAUAUUCGGCUGAUAAAAUCCCAUGGUCAUAUAUUGUUUCAAAUCCUUCCACUGACUUUCAGGCAGUAACUGAAAAGGAAAAAUGCAAGGUGAUCAUUGCCUCAAUAAAAACCUUUCAAAGCCAAGUGUAAAUGAAUGUUGGAAAUUUCACAUUUUUUUCCCCUGUGCGUCUCACAGAUCUGAGCUCUGAGGAUCAAUCAGUUGCACAGAGGAGUCAUGACCCUGCUCUCAUUGCUCUAAGGAACUGUUGUCUCACUGCAUGCUAUGACCCUUGGCAUGAACCUGGUAAUAUUACUACUUGUGGGUCUAUCAACAACAAGCCCUCUGUGGUCCCAAUGUGCUUAGGAAAACUUAAUUCCUCUUGUUCCAAAUGUAGGGAUCUCUCUUGUGCCAAUUACCCUUUGACACUGCUGUUCAAGCUUACUUUCCAAACACUGGUUCCAUAAACACUACUCCCUUCACAGGGACAUAGGCUGGCAAUAGCAAGGAAAACUAGUGCAAAAAUGUUUUCUUUUGAUGUUCUGAUUUUGGGAUUGCUAAAUGUAUAUCACUGCCUUUUAGGAAAUUUUGCAUCAUGACUGGAUAGCUGACUUCCUUGUGACCUAAUCUUCAGUUUUCUUGUAGGCUUAGCAGACAGGUUGCAAAUGCUUUGUGGUCCUCAUGGUAAGUGUUAGAUCUUGCUAUGAAUGUAUGGAUGAAAUCAGAUUCCUAGAAAUCACUGUUCACAUAUGUGUUAGCUUUGACUGCCUGGGUGGUCAGUCACAAUCUCAAAGAAAUCUUCUCUGUAGCUAUA
This is a long non-coding RNA of Passer domesticus (house sparrow), 8854 nucleotides long. RefSeq lists it as uncharacterized. NCBI's taxonomy places the organism in Eukaryota, Metazoa, Chordata, Aves, Passeriformes, Passeridae. The transcript has 7 exons. The record is from RefSeq and is a predicted model, not a curated record.